AUCGCUUCUCGGCCUUUUGGCUAAGAUCAAAGUGUAGUAUCUUGGCCAAAAUCCAGUAGCGAUCCUCUCCAUUGGAGUCUCUCAUGUGAUUACUUCAUUUUGUGCUUUUCCUGUGCUGAUCAUUGACAUUUCCUUUUACCAGGUCUACGUAAGGCAUCAACUCCUUGUAGUUGUGUGACCUUUA
Molecule: small nuclear RNA, 184 nt
Filed under: Haliotis rufescens (red abalone)
Lineage: Eukaryota; Metazoa; Mollusca; Gastropoda; Lepetellida; Haliotidae
Description: U2 spliceosomal RNA
Rfam family: U2 spliceosomal RNA
About the family: U2 is a small nuclear RNA (snRNA) component of the spliceosome (involved in pre-mRNA splicing). Complementary binding between U2 snRNA (in an area lying towards the 5' end but 3' to hairpin I) and the branchpoint sequence (BPS) of the intron results the bulging out of an unpaired adenosine, on the BPS, which initiates a nucleophilic attack at the intronic 5' splice site, thus starting the first of two transesterification reactions that mediate splicing.
Source: RNAcentral